CCUACGGGAGGCAGCAGUGAGGAAUAUUGGUCAAUGGGCGGGAGCCUGAACCAGCCACGCCGCGUGAGGGAAGAAGGUACAGCGUAUCGUAAACCUCUUUUGUCAGGGAACAAAGGCGGGGACUAGUCCCCGGAUGAGGGUACCUGAAGAAAAAGCAUGGCCUAACUCCGUGCCAGCAGCCGCGGUAAUACGGAGGAUGCGAGCGUUAUCGGGAUUUAUUGGGUUAAAAGGGUGCGCAGGGGGCCUGUUAAGUCAGCGGGAAAAGCCCGGGGCUCAACCCCGGCGUGCCGUUGAAACUGGCGGGCUGGAGUUGGAGAGAGGUACGCGGAAUGCGCGGUGUAGCGGUGAAAUGCUUAGAUAUCGCGCAGAACCCCGAUUGCGAAGGCAGCGUACCGGCUCCACACUGACGCUGAGGCACGAAAGCGUGGGUAUCGAACAGGAUUAGAUACCCGAGUAGUC
Molecule: ribosomal RNA, 459 nt
Filed under: uncultured bacterium
Lineage: Bacteria
Description: partial 16S ribosomal RNA
Rfam family: Bacterial small subunit ribosomal RNA
Source: RNAcentral